CCGGAGUUGUGUCGCCGCCGUCGAAGUUGCCGGUCGCUGCGCGGUCCGGCUCACACCGCGAGGUGUUGUUACCGUCCGUCUGGUUCCGACACAUCGUGCUGUUGAACAGCAUGGCGGGACCGGAGAACCGACUCAGGGUUGUAGGAGUCGACAGUUACACUGUUCCCAUGUUUGGUCAGAGCAAGACUACAACGUAGUGAAGGGAAGAUGACACAAAAACUCCUCUAAACAGACCAAGUUUUACAGCGGUCACUUCUGUCACAUAUUAGAGAAUAACCACCUUGCAAGAGGAGUUUGUUGGAUACGAAUGACAAAUGCACGUUCAAACGCAUUGGGGAAUUUCCUCAGAGUAGUCUUCAGUCAUUCUCCCUUUCAAAGACGAGACGGAUCACGCAGUCAGUUCUCUGCCAGAGAAGAAUGAUUCACCCUGUUCAUGUGCCUGCUGCAAACCGGG
Molecule: long non-coding RNA, 454 nt
Organism: Gadus macrocephalus (Pacific cod)
Lineage: Eukaryota; Metazoa; Chordata; Actinopteri; Gadiformes; Gadidae
Exons: 3
Source: RefSeq, a predicted model, not a curated record